This 484-nucleotide ribosomal RNA is filed under the name uncultured bacterium. RNAcentral's name for it is "partial 16S ribosomal RNA". It matches the Rfam family "Bacterial small subunit ribosomal RNA", at positions 30 to 507 of the family's 1533-position model. The record is from RNAcentral.
AUUGAACGCUGGCGGAAUGCUUUACACAUGCAAGUCGAACGGCAGCACGGGGGCAACCCUGGUGGCGAGUGGCGAACGGGUGAGUAAUACAUCGGAACGUGCCCGGUCGUGGGGGAUAACGUAGCGAAAGUUACGCUAAUACCGCAUACGAUCUGAGGAUGAAAGCGGGGGACCUUCGGGCCUCGCGCGAUCGGAGCGGCCGAUGUCAGAUUAGGUAGUUGGUGGGGUAAAGGCCUACCAAGCCGACGAUCUGUGGCUGGUCUGAGAGGACGACCAGCCACACUGGGACUGAGACACGGCCCAGACUCCUACGGGAGGCAGCAGUGGGGAAUUUUGGACAAUGGGCGCAAGCCUGAUCCAGCCAUUCCGCGUGCAGGACGAAGGCCUUCGGGUUGUAAACUGCUUUUGUAUGGAACGAAAAGGCUCUGGCUAAUACCUGGGGCUCAUGACGGUACCGUAAGAAUAAGCACCGGCUAACUACGUG